AUGGCUUGCAGCGACAACUUGGAGAUAAUUAAUUGCAGAAUUGUUAUAGUUCAAGUGACCAGAAAAGAACUAUAUUUUCCAGGCGGAGUAGGUGGGCAAGUGAGAGGUGGUCAUUGGCGGAGGCACAGUGGAGGAAAAUACAAGUGCAAGACGAUCAUAAGCCGCUGUCGAUUGAAAAUUAAGAAAUCGAAAUCAAUAGGGAUGCACUGCAAUAUUUCUCCUCCAGGUUCAAAGUUUGAGAGAAGAGGGAACCCUCCACCCCUAUUUGCCGUCCAAUCUGGCAUGGCGAUGUGUGCCAGGCAGUUUCAUUAA
Molecule: ribosomal RNA, 312 nt
Filed under: Triticum aestivum (bread wheat)
Lineage: Eukaryota; Viridiplantae; Streptophyta; Magnoliopsida; Poales; Poaceae
Description: partial small subunit ribosomal RNA
Source: RNAcentral